RNAcentral lists this ribosomal RNA (119 nucleotides) under Triticum aestivum (bread wheat). RNAcentral also lists the same sequence under 1 other name. The record is from RNAcentral. Lineage: Eukaryota; Viridiplantae; Streptophyta; Magnoliopsida; Poales; Poaceae.
GGAUGCGAUCAUACCAGCACUAAAGCACCGGAUCCCAUCAGACCUCCGAAGUUAAGCGUGCUUGGGCGAGAGUAGUACUAGGAUGGGUGACCUCCUGGGAAGUCCUCGUGUUGCAUUCC